Molecule: long non-coding RNA, 1248 nt
Organism: Serinus canaria (Common canary)
Lineage: Eukaryota; Metazoa; Chordata; Aves; Passeriformes; Fringillidae
Exons: 3
Source: RefSeq, a predicted model, not a curated record
AGCGUGCCCGGGAAUUGCUGUAUGGUGCUGAUACCCAGAAUUCUGAAUGACUGACAUCAUUACUGCCCUACCUGUGCCCCUGUUUUCUUUGUCUGUAGAACACUGGCCUUCAUGUGACAGUGCUGUGGUAGGGCUGUAAGCUUUGUCAUUCCAAGGUGGCCUUCACCUAUCCACAACUGGGUGAAUGUGUUCCUUUUUCAUGCAGUACACAAAGUGGGCAGGGAUGGAACUUCCUGCUUCAAGCCCUUUUUGUAGUACUAUUAUAAAUAAACUUAUUCUUUAAUUCUGAGUAUGAACUUGAAGUAUUCUUUACUUCUGUUAAAAGCCAAAGUCUAUCAAUUGAAUUGGAAGUAGAAAUAGUUCCCAAAAUAAUUUUUCAAAACAGCCUGGCCUUCUGAUGGGUGGUGAUCACAGCAUAGUCUCUCUUUAUCGUGUCUGAUCCUAAUUUUCUAAUUCUGAAGCAGUGGGUGGAGGUUUGUUUUGGUAUUGGACAUCUGUGUAUUUAGCUGGUAUUAGCUGAUAACUGUAAAAGGUUUUUUGGCUUUCAUUUUGGUUUUUUUUUUUUUUUUAUUUCUUUCCCCCAUGAAUAAUUAUUUGAAUUUUUGGAACAUUUCAAAUGUGGUAGGAUGGGAAAUGUAUUUGUUCGGUUUUGAUUUCUAAAAAAGCUUUAAGAGUAGCAUGUUGCAAUUCAAGGCACCCUCUCUUCAAACCCCAGCUGUGAGAUUGAGUGAAAGAAAGGUAGUGUUGAUUCAUUGUGACUUUUUUGAAGAAACUUGUUAUUCCAUUGCUGAGAAACACCUGCCCCAUCCUUAGGGUCAGGAGGGGCAGCCUUGGUGUUAGCUGGAGUGGAGGAUGAGCAGCCCAGCCUGUGCAGGUUAGGGUGGUGUUAGCUGGGGUGGAAGAUGAGCAGCCCAGCCUGUGCAGGUUAGGGUGGUGUUAGCUGGGGUGGAAGAUGAGAGUAGCCCAGCCUGUGCAGGUUAGGGUGGUGUUAGCUGGGGUGGAGGAUGAGCAGCCCAGCCUGUGCAGGUUAGGGUGGUGUUAGCUGGGGUGGAAGAUGAGAGUAGCCCAGCCUGUGCAGGUUAGGGUGGUGUUUGCUGGGGUGGAAGAUGAGCAGCCCAGCCUGUGCAGGUUAGAGUGGUGUUAGCUGGGGUGGAAGAUGAGCAGCCCAGCCUGUGCAGGUUAGGGUGGUGUUAGCUGGGGUGGAGGAUGAGCAGCCCAGCCUGUGCAGGUUAGGGUGGUGUUUGCUGG